GUACUUACCUGGACGGGGUCAAUGGGUAAUCAACAAGGCUCAUGGCCUAGGUUGGUGACUUCCAUUGCACUUUGGAGGGGUACCUGCCUAAGGUCGGCCCAAGUGGUCGAGCCUACGUCAUAAUUUGUGCUAGUGGGAGCCUGCGUUCGCGCGGCCCCUGC
This 161-nucleotide small nuclear RNA is filed under the name Olea europaea subsp. europaea. RNAcentral describes it as "U1 spliceosomal RNA". It matches the Rfam family "U1 spliceosomal RNA". From Rfam's summary of the family: U1 is a small nuclear RNA (snRNA) component of the spliceosome (involved in pre-mRNA splicing). Its 5' end forms complementary base pairs with the 5' splice junction, thus defining the 5' donor site of an intron. There are significant differences in sequence and secondary structure between metazoan and yeast U1 snRNAs, the latter being much longer (568 nucleotides as compared to 164 nucleotides in human). The record is from Rfam by way of RNAcentral. Lineage: Eukaryota; Viridiplantae; Streptophyta; Magnoliopsida; Lamiales; Oleaceae.